CGUGCUUCCAGCUCGUUUUUAAUGUUGUGACUUUCGAAUCGUCGAUCGGCUCCGUUAAACUUGAUCUAGAGUAUUUGAAGUAGCUAGAAAAUAAAUUUUAUGAUUUUACGAUAUCAUUUGCCUAGUGAACGAAGGGGCUCAAAAUCAACGGCUGAAAAUAAAAAUCUUACAAAAUGUAAUAAUAUGAUAUUAAAAUUUUAAAUCAAAGAUAUUGAUCUUGUUUUAUAUAGUAUAAAGAAUUUUCUAUCAAAAUUUCACGUGAUUUGGAUAUUUCUACACCGUUAAACUUGCAAACGGCUCACUACGGCCAUUGAAAUUUGUUGAUUUUGAGCCCAUUCGAUCACUAGGCAAAUGAUAUCGAAAAAUAAUAAAAUUUAUUUUCUAGGUACUCCAAAUACUCUAGAUCAAGUUUAACGGAGCCGAUCGACGAUUCGAAAGUCGCAACAUCGAAAACGAGCUGGAAGCACGGAAGGCUCCGUGCUUCCGAUAGCAUAGUAGCCUCACUCUCUCUAUAUAUAUAUAUAUAUAUAUAUAUAUAUAUAUAUAUAUGAUUGUUGCACAAUAUAUGUCAUGUGUAAUGAAUGAAGUAGGUAGCUUGCUACAUCUUUCUCAGGAAAAAAUAUAUGUUAUGUGUUGCUCGUUUUUGGUCGAAUUAGGACAAAAAUUAGCCAUCAGCACAUAGCAAUAAUUUUAGACGACAGGUCCACAAUGUUGAAUAUAAAUAAUUAUUUGAUCCCCUCUCGAUAUGCUUAACCUUCUGAAGAUAACUAAAUAGUAAUUUCAUACUAUUACACACAUGUACAAUAUGGUAAUGAACAUUAUUAUUAUUUUCUAUUGUUUACCACUGCACGACAAAUGUGAACCCAAGCUGUGGCUAAUCGUCAAAUCUCCUAUUUCCUGAACGACAUGGAUGUAUUCAGUGAUCUCCAACGGUGUCGGUGUGGUGCCGAAGAGUUAUUAAUUACAGAGAAUUUUAAGAAAACUUCGAUUUUUUUUAAUCUUUCUAUAUAAAUUCAUGAGAUUUUAGUUUUUUGAGUGAAAAUCGUCUUGAUCAAAAGCAAAGAUUUAAUUGGUAGCUGGACUUUAAGUGAAAUUUUAUGUAGUUCACCGAAUUUUAAUUUAUUUUAAUUAUUCACUGAAUAUUAAUUUCAAUCUCAAUCUGAUUACUUUAUCAUAUUUCGCAUAAUUAAUUUUUUAAACAAAACAGAGAAACGUACGGUUGCUAAUUUAGCUACCUCAUGAGUGUAAUUCAUUCAAUUUUUAAUUCAUUCGUAGGCUUAGGAUGAAACUUAGCCGAAUAAAAUUAGAUGGAAUAGUUUACCACGGUAGAAUAAUAACUAGCUAUUAAAAUUUAUGUAAACAAAUUCCAAUUGACCAUAUUAUGAAACCACCAUGUCCAUCUAUUAAAUACCGUUUAUUUAGUUAAAAGUUCAUGUUUUUGAUCUAUGGAAAGUCUCAAUUUUUAACUUACAAAUGAACUUGUGCGUGAAAACCCAAGUUCUUUUAUGUGAGAAGUACAAGCACUUCAGGGUGCGUGAAAACCCAAGUUCUUAUUAAAAUUUGUUGAAUGUGUUGUGGUUUAAAAGUUGACAGUGACAUCAUAUUACCACGCUUCCGAUCAAUCAACUGGUUCUCGGGCGAGCUCAACUACAACUCACCGGAGACCCCCCGAGAAAAAGUUGGUUCCGGCGUUCGAGAGCCUGAUUGCGAAGCUCGUAAGUCUGCCGAUCCCGACGGUGCCCCGUGUAAAGGGCUGCGCGUACAGCGCGGGGUUCACGCUUGCGCUCACGCUCGUGCACGACUACUUGGUGCUGUCAAAUGACGCCCUGAUUAGCGUGUGCCAGGACGAGCUUGUUAGCUAUUUAUUAUUAGGCUAAAAUAGGUUCAAUAGUCUGUCCCAUGAUAAUAGGUUCAGAAAAAUAAUAAGUUGAGUGACGGUGCAGUCCACAAAAAGCCUAAUAGUAAGAGGUCCAAUAAUAAAUCCAACAUUCACAUGAUUUAAGCCAUAUCGAAACCCGCGAGUGCUGUGGCUGAAUUGUUAAGUACAAUAGAUGCGCCCUUUCUAUAUGAUUUUGAGAUAGUUGGUUAGCGCUUAUGAUCUGCAGAACUGGCGCGGGGCCACGAGCUGUCGCAUUAUGCCGCGGCACUGCUGAGGGACAAAUUCCUGCCGUCGGUCGCGUGGGCCCUGGCAGCGUUGUCCCACACUACGCCCCCAUAAGCGACUACAUGAAGCGCUACGUAGGGUGGAGCGAAGACCAGGUGGUGGAUGAACUGCUAAGGCCGUCUGCUAACAGAAUCCGCAACUGCAACGGCGGCAACUACAGUAAGUUGCGGGAUCGAGAGGCUAGCUGCUGGCCGAUGUGUCCCGGGUGGCGAACGACGAGUGAAUCAGACCCUACUAAAUCAAAGGCUUGAGUUGAGAACUAGUUUAAUAAUAUGGUGACCAAAAAUAUUACUUUUACAUUAUAAACGGUUCAAAAUUUUUAAAAAUACUUUUAGUCUUUCUUUUUUUUAUGUUAUAAAAUUACAGUUGUACCAGCUAUAAAAGAAACCGCGUAACCACAUACUUCUCCAAUGGCUAUUGUAAUGGUAAUUAUAUAAUUAACAUUAUAGGAGAAAAGAUCGUGAACGCUUUUGAAAUUUUUUGACAUGUUAUAUUAUAAAAAUAAUAGUUUUAGUCACCAUAUUACUAAUUAAACUAGGUCUAAAUCACCCUGAUCAGCUCACGAAUAGUGCGAGGGCCUGGAUCCGUGCAUUUUUUUCGUAUGCAUGUAUUUGUCCCCAGUCAUAUAUAUAUAUAUAUAUAUAUAUAGUGAGGCUACUAUGCUAUCGGAAGCACGGAGCCUUCCGUGCUUCCAGCUUGUUUUCGAUGUUGCAACUUUCGAAUCGACGAUCGGCUCCGUUAAAUAUGAUCUAGAGUAUUUGGAGUACCUAGAAAAUAAAUUUUAUUAUUUUUCGAUAUCAUUUGCCUAGUGAUCGAAUGGACUCAAAAUCAACAAAUUUCAAUGGCCGUAGUGAGCCGUUUGCAAGUUUAACGGUGUAGAAAUAUCCAAAUCACGUGAAAUUUUGAUAGAAAAUUUUUUAUACUAUAUAAAACAAGAUCAAUAUCUUUGAUUUAAAAUUUUAAUAUCAUAUUAUUACAUUUUGUAAAAUUUUUAUUUUCAGCCGCUGAUUUUGAGCCCCUUUGUUCACUAGGCAAAUGAUAUCAUAAAAUCAUAAAAUUUAUUUUCUAGGUACCCCAAAUACUCUAAUAAUUUAUGGACACUUCGUCUUGACGCACUUUUUGUACCCCCACCCACUGCUCAUCCCCGUUGGGGGCUUUGAUCUCCUUCCUCUUCCUUUGCUUUUAAUUUAAUUUUGAGUUUACGACCUUCUCGGUGGCCUAAGCUGCUUCAACUUGUGUGCUCAGUCUUUUACUCAAUGAAUGAAGCAGGUAGCUUGCUAUCUAUUUCUCAAAAAAAAAAAAAGUUAACGAGACCGAUCACGAUUCGAAAGUCGUAAUAUCGAAAACGGCUGGAAGCAUGGAAGGAUCCGUACUUCCGUAGCAUAGUACCAUCCCAUUCUAUAUAUAUAUAUAUAUAUAUAUAUAUAUAUAUAUAUAUAGGGCUUUCUUUGUAAAUAGCUCCCUGACACUAUCCGUUUUAUUCAUUUGAAAAGUUAAAUUACUGUAAAAAGUUACGCAGUAAUAAAAAGAAAAGAAAAGAAAAGAAAAGUACAAGAGUAAGAGAGAGCAAAAAGUAAAGACAGUAGAAGAAUCAGGACCGGAGUUCCUAACUGUCCAUAAGCUUCAUCCAGUGCUACAAAACUCAGCCCACACCCUCCUCGACUCCCUAAUUCAUCAUGAUCUGCUGAUGAUAUACCUACUGUAAUUAGUUUUCUUAGAUAAGUACUCUAUUUAGGGAUAUUUAAGAAUUUAAGUAGAAUCGCGCUACAAAAAAAAAAAAAAGAAAAAGGCCCAGAUUCUCGUGAGAAUCGAGAUAAAAAUAGGGAAGUAAUUAAGGGGGGAAUAAAAUAUUAAAAUAUAAACGCUAAUUAAUUAGAAAUUUUGGCUAACACGUUGGUCCGUACGUAGUAUUGGUUGUAUAUAAUUGGAUAAAACAUUUUAUUAUUAUGUUGUGAACAAUAGUAUGUUCGUUGGGGAGUGCUUUUCCAUUCCGAGUACAGCUAGGAUUAUAAAGUUCCCUCACAGCUCAACUCAACUUUACAAAGUCUACUUAAACAAUUAAACUUGCGCCCGUUGAACAACCCAAUUAACUAACUAAUUAAAUAUAAACUAUUUGAAAUAAGCUUAUAAAUUGCAAAUUUAAAUUUUUUCUCAUUCAUAAGUGACUCACAUGUGUGGUUCCACCUAAAACCAUAUGCAUUAUUGCAGAUUUGGUUUAGGAGAGGAGAAAUGUAAUUAAUAACUCUUCAGCAUCCAGACGACGCGGUUGGUGGUCGAGAAGAAGAGAGAAGAAUAUAUAAGUCAAUUAUGAAUAAGGACAAGUUUUAAUUUCCAAAAUUUUAUCUGAAUUUUUAUCUCAAAUAGUUUAUAUUUAAUUAGUUAGUUAAUUGGAUUGUUUGACCGGCUCAAGUUUGUUUAAGUAGACUUUGUAGAGUUUAAUUGACUUGUGAUUAUUUUAAUGAGAGAGACUUUACAAAUUACAACCCUAGCUGUACUAGAAAUGGGAAAAGCACUUCCCCCAACAAAUAAAUAAUUGUUCACUACAUAAUAAAAUAUUUUUCUUAUCCAAUAAUACACAAUCUAUACCACGUGCGUACAUACUAGCCAAAAUUUCUACUUAAUUAUAUUGACCUUUAUAUUUUAUUUCUCCAUUACUACUCCUCUACUUUUAUCUUGAUACCCGCGUGAAUCAGGGUUUUUUCUUCUUCUUUUUUUUUUUUAGUGAGUCUUAGAUUUCCAGAAAAUUUUAAGAAAACUUCAAAUUUUUUUAAUCUUUGUAUUUAAAUUCUUAAAGUUUAAAAUUUUUGUUUGAAAUUCGUCUUGAUUAAAAGCACAGAUGAAUCACACCAUUGGUGGCUGGACUUUUAAUAAGUAAAAUUUUGUUUAGUUCAUCGAACUUUAAUUUAUUUUAAUUAUCAACUGAACAUUAAUUUCUAUCUCAUUCGGAUUGCUUUAUCACAUUUCGUAUAAUUUUUUAGACAGAACACAAAAACGUUAGCUAAUUUAGCUACCAUAUAGCUAUAAUUUAUUUAAUUUUUAUUGGUAGGCGAAGGAUGAUCAAAUUUAGCGGAACACAAUUAGAAGAAAUAUUUUACCAUAGUAGAAUUAUAAUUAACUAAUAAAAUUUAUCUAAACAAAUUUCAAUUAGCCAAAUUUCAAAACUGCCACGCCCAUCUAUUUUUUUUGAGAAAAAGAUAGCACGCUACCUGCUUCAUUCAUUUAGAGGAUGAAUUAGGCUUACAUAAUGGAGACAGCCGGGGCCUCCGACGGGAGAAAGAGCGUCAAAAUUACAAAGACAAGAAACAAAAAUGACAAGAGACUAAAACCAAAAAGGAAGGAAAAGAGGGUAAGGGAAGCAAGAGCGACAAAUAACUAAAGCCAAAAGAGGAAGAAAGAAAGAGUAAAAGCGACAGGCGUCAAACAGCAGGGAUCCAGCAGGGUCAACAAGGAGCGAUCCAGGUGUCAAGCAGCAGUUUCGCCCGUUCCAGGCACCGAAUAGGGUUGGGGGCAAUAUCUCGAAAGAUUAAACCAUUCAUUUCCGUCCAAACGACCCACCAAAUGGCAGAAAGGAAGGAGAGGGAAAUAAGUCUGUCUUUGGCGUCUCUUAGAUCAAAGUUCAUGUUCUUCACCUAUUAAAAUGACAAAUAAGUCUGCCACGCCCACCUAUUAAAAUGCCAUUUAUUUAGUUAAAAAGUUCAUGUUCUGCACCUAUGGAAAGUCUCCAUUUAUUACGUAAUUAACUUUUCAAAAUAUACCCAUAUAUAUAUAGAGAGAGAGAGAGAAUUCCCAAAGGAGUUUAGUUGCCUACUUAAAAAUGAACUUAUGCACGAAAAUCCAGGUCUUAUGAAAAGUACAACUUCACAGUUUGUUUAAAACACCUAAAUUAAAAAACAAAAGAAUGGGCUCACUUUUCAAGGCUCUUAUUUAAAAAUUCCGUCUCCGUCCCACGAUCUCUGAAUUGCUGAGGAAUGGUCAGCUCCGCAUAAAAUGAAUCGAAAGAUUAAUUUUUGGUAUAAAAAAUAUUUUUUUUGUUUGUUUGAUGUAAUGUUAAAAUAUUUUUUUGUAAAAAUAUUUUUACAGAUUUGAAAAAGAAUUGAAGUUUUUGUUUUUUGCUAUUUUUUGGAGAAAAUUGAAAACUCAAGUAGCGUAAAAAAAAUUUUCAUCUAUUUUUUUUCACCGAACUAAACAAAUGUAAUUUUUUUUUCUUUCAAUCAAAUAAAUAUUGGUGAAAAAUAUAUUUUUUUCUUACAAAUCAAAUACUAUAAAACGUAAAACUUUUUUUCUAUUGAAAUUUUUUUUUUCUAUAAAAAAGUAUUUUUUACGAUUUUACGUUGAACCAAAUGGACCUUAAUACAAAAUUGGCAUCGUGUUAGCACCAAGGAACUCACUAUCUUUAUUUCUUUUUUCUAUUUAACCUGUAAAAGUUAGUUUGGUGUAAAUUGAAUUAUCGGUUAUUACUGGCGCAAAGUUUGAUUUAAAUGCAAAUAGUGAGGACGAGGGCGUGCGGGGCAGAGGUGAGGUGGGUUGUUUCCGCCUCCGCCUCCGUUUCCUCUACGGAGAGAGAAAAAAAAAAGAACGAGAAAAGAAAAAGAGGAGAGAGAAAAAAUAAUAAGGGUAUAUUGAUUAGUUUGUUGAAAAUCUGAUUCGAAUCUGCAAAAUCGAAAAAAGUGGCCCACUUUUACAAAAGCGUAAAACAGUGGAUUUUGUAUGCAAAUUGGCCAAAGAUAAAUUAUAAAACUUUACUAACUUUUUCCAGCUCAUAAUUAAUACGACCUAUUAACUUUAAUUUGACCUGAAAAUAAUUUACUAACUUAUUUUUUACUUGAAUUUUGACCCAUGAAACUUGAUUUGGUCAAAGAUAACACAUUAUAUCAUCAAAUGUUGCUAAUUGCCGAACGAUCCGUUAGCCAGGCUUUCACACCAGAUUAAAUUUAUUUUGUGGGCAAAAUGCAGCUAUUUGCAUCAAAUCAAACUUUGCGCUAGUAAUAACCGAUAAUUCAAUUUACACCAAACUAACUUUACAGGUUAAAUAGAAAAAAGAAAUAAGAUAGUGAGUUCCUUGGUGCUAACACGAUGCCUUAUUUGGAUACAAGUUAAUUAAAUAUUGGUGACUUGAAUAUAAUAAUGUGCAAGAUUUCUUCAUCUAUUAACUUAAGCUGUUGGUUUGGGAUCGAGUCAUUUACCUUGGUAUUAUAUCGGAAGUUAAUUAAAUAGUUCAUGCGGUUUAGUCAUGUUUCGAUUUGACUUCGUUCAGUUCUCAUCUGAGUAGUCUAGUUCUUUCAAUCAGAUUUCGUCCAGCUCUUACAUAAUUAUAUUAGGUUCAUGCCGUCUAUUAGCAUGGCCUAUUAAUUAGGUGCCAAGGAGGUGGGUAAGUUGUGCGCGCGGAUCGAGAACUAGAGUAGUAUUAGGAGCCUAUAAAUAGAGGCAGCCUCUCGAAGCACUCUCCACCCAUCUAUCUACUACCCGCUGAUCAUAUAUAUAGAAUAAGAGUAAACACACACACACACACACGCACACACACAUAUAUAUAUAUAUGUAGCUAGCUAGCUCGAGAGCCAUGGGUUCGGAUGACUCGGUGAGCUAUGACACCAUCGUGAAAGGCGGCCACAAAUUUGCCGUGCUGACCCUGAAGCCAGCGGACAGCCGUCACCUCUUCACAAAGGAGCUCAUCGGGGAGUACAGCAAACGACUCCAGCAGGCCGUCGGCGACAAUGUUCAAGGCCUCAUAACCACCCACCAGGGCAACUGGUUCUCGGGCGGCUUCGACUACCACUCGGCCCCCCCGGUGGAGGAUUUCCGGAAGCUGAUUGCCGAGUUCAUCCAGCUGCCGUUCCCGACGGUGGCCUACAUACGCGGCCGCGCGUACGGGGCAGGAUUCACGCUGGCACUCUUACACGACUACUUAGUGCUGUCGAACAACAGCCCCCUUAGUUUGCGCCAGGACGAGCUGGCUAAUGGGCAUGAGUUGCCGCCGUAUGCUGUGGCGCUGGUGAGGGACAAGUUCCAGCUGUUGGCCUCGCUGGAGCUGCUGGUGUCGUCGGCGUACGUCACAGCCCCGAAGUUCGCGCCCAUAACCGAGUACGUGAAUCCGUACGUAGGGUGGACCGUAGACGAGGUGGUAAAUAAGCUGCUGCAGCCACUGGUUGGCCUCGUCGGCCGCAACUACGGUAGCGUGCGGAAGAUCCUGCUGCCCCAAGUGUGUCAGCUGGUGAAACCCAAACCGGCCGGCUCGCGGCUAUAGCGAGCUUGAGAGCCUGCAUGGCUCCACGCAUGCUUUUUAAAAUUUUGCAUGCAUGCAAUAUGUUUUCGCCCCCCGUAUGGAUUGCAUAAUGCGUACCGCCGUUAGCUUGGAGUCCUAGUCCUAGUCCGAGUCCGAGUCCCAGUCAGUUUACUUUACGGUGCUUGUUUUGCCCUUUUGAAUAAAAUGGGGGCGGGGCGAUGUCGGUCUGAGUGAGUCUCUGUCGAUCCUUUGUCAUUUACUAUAUGCUUCUGCAUCUCUCAUUUAUUCACGAUUGUUUGGAUUGGUCUUCAAAAGCAUAUAUAUUUGGAUUACCGGAACUUUCUGGGUGUGGAUGGAAUUAACUUAGGAGCAUUAUUGUAGCUCGAUCGAGUUCCUCUAAGGUCGCAAAAAAAAAAAAAAAACUUGAAUUUAAAAAUUUCGUCACCAAACUUGAACUUACAAAUAUCGAUCUCAUUACAAAUGCCACAAUCCCCAGAGAAAACACAAAGUACGACCGAAGCGAUAUGGAUUGGGCCUGGUCCAUCGAACCAUUUUGAAUCGUGGCAACGGUUGGCCUGGUCCGAUAGAUAUAUAGAUCACUCGUUUCUUUCCUGGCUCAAGGUCGAAAAGAUGUAAAGCUAAGUGUUUGGAGCUAGCCAUAUAUAGAUGGACUUGGGGCUCACGGACAACCAACAAAUCAAAUAUGUACAACAAAAUGGUGCGCACGUUUUUUUCUACUUCAAAGGGGAUGCACAAAGAAUAAUAUAAAUUGUAAAGAGAAUAUUGUGAGAAAACUGAGGGAUUAAUACAUUGUUUUCAAUCAAAGGUUCAAACAGUGAAUUUUCUUCUUUUCUUUUUUUUUUUCUUUUUUUUUGCGAGAUAUGUAGCACACUACCCGCUUCGUUUAUUUCAUUUAGAAAUAAACUUAGCUGUAAAUGUAAAUCAACUAGGAUUCGAACUUGGGUCUCGGUACUAACCACCAAGCCUUUUACCACUUGCUCUAGGAACGAUUGGUCAAAUAGUGAAUUUUCAAACUGAUAUAAAAUGCAUGUACUCUGAACUACGUACCAUUCAUAAGAGCACCGGAUCGAGGUGCGAUCUAAACUUUGAUGACAUGGCCCCAAGCUAGCUGGAUUUACUAGCGUAGCAAUUUCCUUUGUUAUACUGUGAAUAUCGAUGCUUUAAUUAGUAGGAUUACAAUUUACAAUUAGUGAGGAUUACAUACAUCCUGAGGGUGGAGGAGUCGGAAGAGCACCACUGUCACUGCCGGAGUGCCACCCUGAAAGUCCGUGGUGCGGUGGCCUGCAUUCUCAACGACACCAAGGGCGUGGAAGGCCUCAUAACUACCGGCGGAUUGCCGACGAGGCUUGAUGCUAUUAAUAGCAUUCUAGCCUAUUUUUAUAUGAGUCUGGUUACAAUACCAUUAAUAGCAUCAAACACUUAUUACUAUCAAGUUUUCCGCUAUAAUGCAAGAGAAAUUGAUAAAAAGAUAUUUUGGUGACAGGGAAAAUUUUAGAUUAAAUAAAAAAAUAUUUCAUACAUAUUAACAAAAUAAUAAUAAUAAUAAUAAUAAUAAUAAUAAUAAUAAUAAUAAUAAUAAUAAAUAAUUAAAUAACUAAAAAUAAAUUAAGUUUGAAAAAUAGAAUAAUUAAAAAAAUCUAUCAAAUCAUUAGUUAUUUAAAUUCAAAUAAUAGAUUCAAAAUUAACUUUAAUUUUUGAGUCUAGUAAUUCAUAUAAUUUAAAUCUAAAUUUUUAAUUUUAAUUUUAAAAUUAAUUUACAUUUUAAAUUAAUUUAAAUUUUAAAAUUUUGGAUAUACAUACAUAUUAUAAAAAAAUGUGUAUAUUAUGGAAUACAUAAAAAGAAAUUUACGAUGUAACUAAAUUUAAAAUAUACUUGAAAAUAAAUCAAAUUUAACAAAUAAAUCAAUUAAAAACUAGAUUUAUGCCACGUAUUUACCACUACAACAGAAUUAGGUUAUAGGGACACAUGUUUGGGACAUUUUUGAGUAAGUGUCCUAUUUAUCCUAAAACUUAAAAAAACAUCUACUAAUACCUAAAUAUAAAACCCAAUCCAACCAAAAAUAAAAGAUUACUCUAUUCAACCCACCACACCCAGUCCAUUUGGCCCGAUUACAAACAGAAAAGAAUAAAAAAAAAAAAAUCAAUUACCAUCUUUUCUUCUCUCUUCACUCAAUCCACUGAAAUUCUAGACGAAAAGCCUUUCCUGUCGUCCUCCUCCGCCACCGCAGCCAACGAGAUAGAAUUUCGGCGGUUGCUAAAUGCUUAAAUAAGUGUUGGUAAAUUAGCAGCACUCUUUUAGAUUAUAGCGACACUCUUUAACUGUCACUAUAUACUUAGCGACCCCACAUAUAGCAACACUUUUUAAAAAUAUCGGUAAUUUUAGCUAACAGCACUUUUUGACAUGUACCUAUAUUUAAAAGUGUCACUAUAAACCGUUUUUGUUGUAGUGUUAAAUUUAAAAUAUAAAUUAAGAAUAUACUUUAACUUUAAUUUUUAUACUUAAAUUUGAUUUCCUUUACAAAUGUGAGAGCACAACGACAUGCACUACAAACAAUCAGUCGCACAUCUUUGAUUGUAUGUUACUUUGUUGGACACAUUACAUCGUUGGUUGGUCACUAAACUUUUAAUAAAAUUUAAUUUAGAUCAUUGAACUUAAAUUUUGUUGUUGUAUUAUUAGUCAUUGAACUUUUAGUAAAAUUCUAUUUAGGUCAUUAAAUUUUAAAUUCUUUCAACUAUUAUUUGUAAAAAAAUUCAAUUAAAAUUUGAGCAGUAACUUAAUUGAAAUAAAAAUUAAAGUUCAAUGCUUAGUUUGGAACAAAGUAAAAUUUAAUGAUCUAAACAAAAUUUCACCAAAAGUCCAGUGAUCAAUGGUGUUAUGUACAGAAAUUUUAUUUGUAGGCUAAAGGAAGAAGCUCAGUGAAAUAUAACUGGAUGGAAUAUUUUAUCCUAGUAGAGUUAUCAACUACUUCUGUCAUUAUAUUUUCCGAAUGAGCAAUGCAAUCUAUAAACACGUACAGUACUUCAUUCAAUCAAAACUUUUUUUUUUUUUUUUUGAGAGAUAGGUAGCAUGUUAUUCGGUUCGUUUAUUUCAGUUAGAAAUAAAUUUAACUGGAAAUGUAAAUAAACUAGCUAGAAUUCGAAGUCGGGACCUUAGGUACCAACCAUCAAGCCCUUUACCGCUUGCUUUAGGGAUGGUCGGUCAUUCAUCCAAAAACCUACAUUUUUUUUUCACUUGUCUUACUAUUUAGUUUUAAUACUUCCCAUUGUAUACGUGUCUACGAAUGUGCAUUUUCCUUUUCCAUUCCAUACAUGGCUAUAUUAAUUUACUGCAUUUGGUCUCAUUAACUUNAUUUGUAGGCUAAAGGAAGAAGCUCAGCGAAAUAUAAUUGGAUGGAAUAUUUUAUCCUAGCUAGUAGAGUUAAUAAUUACUUCAAUCAUUAUAUUUUUUGAUUGAGCAACGCAAUCUAUACAUAUACUUCAUUUUUCCAAAAGUCUACAUUUUUUUUUUCUUGUCUUAUUAUUUAUUUUUAGAGUCAAUUGCUUAUAUAUUCCUGAAAAGUUUCUGACUUUCUGAUUUAUCUCUCUUAGAAGGCUAAUAUUGAAAAUAUUUUUUUUACGUUCCAACCUAUUUCAAAUAUACUUUUAGAGUUAAAAUCUGUUAAUGAACUUUGUUAUUUGUAUAAAAUUAUUAUUUUGCCCUUUCUAAUAUUUCAUUCUAUCAUCACCGACUUUUCUUAUUUGUCCUUAAAUCAGGAGCACAAAAAGUAUUUUGACUUUUGGUCUUUUCAAAUAUAUUCCUCUAUCAUCACCAAUAUUUUUUAUUUAUCCUUAAAUUAAGGGCAAAAUUGACAUUUUAAUUUUUUUUAACUGUGGUGUGGUAGAUAUUUAACUCACGUUUAAUCCAAGUUAACUUAACGGGUGGUAACUGGAUAGGUAUUUUGAAAUAACGGAGAAACAUAUGAGGGAUAUAUUGGAAAGAAAAAAAAAAGGAAUAAAUGAGAUAUUUUCGAAGUUUGAGGUAUAUAUAGGCAAUUAUCUCUUAUUUUUAGUACUUCCUAUUGUAUACGUUCUACGUGCAUUUUCCUUUUCCAUUCCACAUAUGGCUAUAUUUAAUGCGUUCGGUCUCAUUAACUUACUUACGUAAUUUGCCUAACUGUAUCUCAUUUAGAAACUCUCGAAUACACUAAAGGCGUGUUUGGUUCGAAGUCGGAGUCGGAAUCGGAAUCAGAAUCAAAAUAAGCUGAAAUCGGAAUCGGAAUGACUCAUUACCUAAAUUUUGUUUUGUUCAUCACCUGAAUCGGAAUUCAAAUAAAUCAUUCCCAUUGUCAGUGUUUGGUUCAGAUGGAUAUAAAAAAGUAAUCAAAUUAAUAUACUAACAUUAUCUUUAUAAUAUAUUAAUUUAAAUUCAAAUUAAAUAUUAAAUAUUAAAAAUUUACAUCAAAAUUUUGAAAUGAUGUCAAAAUUUUAAAUCUAUUUUUUAAAAAAAAUUAAACUUUGAAGUUGAGUGGAUAAUUCAAAAUAUGAAACUAAAUUUUGAUUUAUUCAAAUUCAAACUUAAAAUUACAAUUUAAAUUUUAAUUUGAAUCCAUAAAUUUAAUUUAAGUUUGAAAUAAAAUUUGAAUAAACUUUAUAUAAAUUAAAAUUUAAUUUAAAUUCAAAUUCAUAAGUUAGAUUCGAAAUACUUGAUUAAAUUUUAAUUUUUAAUUUAAGUUCAAAUUAAAAUUUAAAAUUAUAUAUUUAAUUUUUAAAUUUUAAAUCAUAUUUUAAUUAAAAAAGUUGAAAAAAUAAAUUUAAUCCGAAUAAAUAUCCAUUCCGUCCGGAUUCAACUUCUAAUCCGGCCUUCUAGGCCGGAUUGAAAAAAGGGGUGAUUGAGCGAUUCUCAUUCCACUCGGGAAUGGAACUCCCACAUAUCAAACAUCCACAAAUGAAUUCACUCAUUCCCAUUCCGAUUCCAUGGUGAAAAAGAAGCGAACCAAACAUGCCCUAACAGUUAAAGUAUAUCUAAAUUGCACUAUUAGGAGCCCAGCAGUCGUUGCACUCUCAUAUUGUUAUAUAUCCAUCCACCAAAAUGAUGAAUGGUUUCGAUUAGGCCCAUUUUUAAGGUGUAAAAUUAGCGGGUUAAUAGUGGUGUUAUAUAGACCAAAAUAUGAUUUGGAUCAAGAAAAUUUAUUUUGACGAAUGAUAGCAAGAUAGAAUGCAAAUAUACCAUGUAGAUGAAGGCAAAUUAAUACAUUAGAGUUGCCGAAGUUUCGAGGGAAACUUAUGUACACAUUAGUUCGUGGCUUCUUUGACAAUUUUAAAAAAGUUUAACUCUUGAGUUUUCAAUUUCUACUUCCAAAAAUUGUCGUUGAGAGAUAUCUUUUAGUAGAAUUAAUUUGUGAAUAUUUUGUUCCUAAAAUAAUUUCUUAUUCUCUUAGUAAAGUUUAAUUCUCUAAGUUAGACAUGUAUAUAUAUGUGGCUUCAUUUGGUUCGGAUAUAAAUAAGAACUGCUUAUUUCAAGAAUAGAUAUAAGUUUUAUAAGUAGAAACUAGACCAAUUUUGCGUUCCUAAGAAUAAGACAAAUAAUAUUUGAAUGAUUAGAUUGAAACAGAGACAAUAAGAAUUAUGAUUUUAAGUUAAAAAAUUUUAAUCUAAUUAAUUAACAUCAAAUUAGGUUGUUCAUAUUUGGAUGAUUAGAUUGGAACAGAGGAAAUAAGAAUUAUAAUUUUAAAUUAAAAAUAUUUAAUCUAAUUAAUUAACAUCAAAAUAUUAAUUAAAAAUAAUUUAAUAAACUAACAAAUUUAUUAGCUAUGAAUAUUGUAUAAGAUAAUAAAACUAUAUUAAAUAAAUAAAUAAGUAAUUUUAUUUUUUAAUUAGUUAGUAAGUUAUUUUAGUCAGAUAAUUAGCAAAAUAAUUAAUUAGAUUAGUUAAAAUAUUAAUAGUUGAUCAAUAUAAAUAUUAAUUUAUGAAUAAACCUAUGGAUUUACCCAACAUCUUUUGCUUGAAAAACCGUUUGAUUCAUUUAGAGGAUGAACUGACCUCCAAUCUAAGACGACCGGGCCUCUGAAAAGAAAAAAAAGAAAAUCAUAUUAAUUAAGACAAAGUAAAGAACAGAUUAACCUCCUCUACAUUCUUUGUCGCUCACCGUCUUCUCCGGCCUUUUGUGGCUGGAAAUCUGGCCAAAGAGAUUGAACUCUUAUCAUUUUUUUUUGUCUCUAUACACUUUCUUAUUUCAUAUAUCAUCAGUUGUUCCUCCAACUACUUCACUGCAGUCAUCCAGUUUUUUAUUUUUUAUUUUUUCUGUUUAAUCUCCUCUUUCCCUUAACUCUCCGAGCUUUUCUCUCAUCCUUUUCUUCGGUAGAGCACUAUAGGUUUUAUUGUCAGAUGUGACUCGAAGUCUACUAUCGUUUUCACGUUCGGGUUUACGACUCGCCGACAGCUUCGCGGUGCGACCAAUUUGGAAAAAAAAAUUAUGGAGAAAAAAUGAAUGUCUGUGGUGGGUACGGAUCGGAUCCGAAACCCGUUAUGAGUUUUCUUUUUCGUUUGAGCGUUUGUCGUAACAUUUAUGAACAUCGAUCCUUCGAACUUGAAGAGGUAGCGGGAGCACUAAUUGGAGCAUUGGAGGUGACCAAACAAAAUAUAUUCAUGAUCACUGCCUUCGACCGCGAGUUUGCGAUUAUUUUCAGAGCCCAUGCACCCAAACUCCUCUUUUCAAUGGUUUGCUCAAAUCCAGCUCCGCACAGGCCUUCUCAAACCGUAACAGUGGUCUCAUCCACUCAGAGGGGCCUCAGCGAGUAUAUUCAUUAAUUGGCCACGGACCCUCAGAAAGUACAGUAGACGAGUCAGAUUUUGUUAGUACAUCUGAAAUUUAGGCUUAUCACAGGGAACAUGGUACCAUGUCUCCCAAAUAUGUAUGUGUGCCAUAUUCUGGACAUUUAAUUGCAAAGUCUAGCUAGUCAGGAUAUUAAUUAACCUCCCAACCAAAUCUAGUAUUUCGGCCGCUUAAUUGGCUCCUGCAUUUUCUAGAGCAUCUUCAUCCGUGGCGACGUGAUAAUCAGUAUUGGCCUUGAGCUUAAUUGUUGAGGACCGCAUCUAGAGUACGUAACCCUCUCCUUCGCAAGGUGGGAUACGUACGUGGUCCUUAACUUAAUUUCCAGCAACUUCACAAUUAUUUUUUGUCUUACAUUUACGGCUGAAUUUUUUUUUUAAAAAAAAUAAACAAAAUAAAUAGCAUGCAAUCUUUUCUUCAAAAAAAAUUUGUUUUAGUUCAACACAUUUUCUUAGGAUAUUGUCUUGGACAUGAUGUAUCUGUAUAUAAUGCACCAUAUUUAAUUUUUGAUAUUGAUUAAUGCAUUAAAAUUAAAACGUAAUUUCAUAUAUGUAACCUACACCUUUAAAAAGCUUGACUUGAAGAAUCUAUUAUCCAGUAAUCAAGUAAGCUAAAAUAUGGGUUUAGUUUUAAAAAAAACGCACAUAUUAAAUGUAAUAUAUAUAUAUAUAUAUAGAGAGAGAGAGAGAGAGAGAGAGAGUUGAGCUAGAAUACUAUCAAUAGUAAACGAGCCGUUUUACUACCGAUUUGUUUUCGAUGAUAGAACUUCCAAAUUGACGAUCAGCUCCGUUGAACAUGAUCUAUACCACUUGAAGUGUUUAGAAAUCAAAUUUCAAAUCUUUUCGACAUCAUUUGCCUAAUGAUCAAAGGGUUUCAAAUUUUGUAAUUUUAAUGGUUGAUCAGAGGCGUUUUCUCGUUUAACGGUGUAAAGAUAUCCAAAUUAAUUGAAUUUUUGUUAGAAAAUUCUUUAAACUAUUUAAAACAAGAUCUAUACUCUUGAUCUUGAUUACAAGACUCCUAUCGUCAUUUUUUAAAGAGUGUUCAUUUUCAGUCAUUCAUUUUUCUGUUCACUUGAUGGAUAAAAGAACAAUAUCGAAAGUGCGUGAAAUUUGAUUUCUAGAUAGUUUAAANUAUAUAUAUAUAUAUAUAUAUAUAUAUAUAUAUAUAUAUAUAUAUAUAUAUAUAUAUAUAUAUAUAUAUAUAUAUAUAUAUAUAUAUAUAUAUCGAAAUAAUAGUAGUUUGAGAGUAAAUUACUACAUCACAUUAAAAGUAUGUAAUAGCCAUUUCAACUGCUAUAUUAUCUCAAAAAUUAUAAUUAUUUAAUUAUUACAUCACCUAAAAAGUUGGUUUGAUAAUUAAAUUAGUAGUUAGAUCGAUCAUCUAGCAGGUAGGCGUAUCAUUUCUAGAAUUUGAUGUAAUAACUAAAUUAGUUAAUUACUUUAUUGAUUUAUUUAAAAAUAUUGAAAAAUUAAACAAAGUGAUAUAUAUAUAUUUAAAAUAGAAACUAAAGUCUAGUAACUUAAUUGAAAUAAAAAGUUAAUUGCACCGUCGGUCACUGAACUUCAAGUGAAACUUCGUUUAAUUCAAUGAACUUUAUUUUUUAUUCAUUUCAUUCAUUAAAUUUUGAUUUUAAUUUCAAUUGUGUAACUUUAAAAAACUUCAUAUAAUUUUGAACAAUGCUACUUCUACACCAUCAAAGGAGGAUAGGAUACGUGGAUCGUAAGCGCUAACAAACUAUUCCAAAAAUACGUACUGAUAAAAAGGAUGCACUCAUUAUACUUAGGGACUCAGUCACAGUGCUCGCAGACUUCAACCUAAUUCAAUCCUUCUGAACAUUAGGUCUAUUGUUUAGUCUUUUACCGUUAUGUUUCUUGUGAGCCGUACUUCCACUUAACUUACUAGACUUACCGAACUUAACUUAUUAAUUUUUUAAAUUUAUUACUUAUCAUGGAGCAGAAUGUUGGACAUAUUUUAGUCCAAUAUUAAAUAGUCAACAGGAUAUCCACCCCACACUUGAAUGGGUGGGGUGUAUAUUCUAAUUUUUCAAGCACAAUGAUAAAGAGACAGUUAAUUAAUUUAGUUUCCACGACAUUUUUUAGAGAUGUCGCCGCUACAAAUGUCUCUAUUGCCAAAUAACUAGGUUGUCUGGUGCUAUCAAAUUGCGUUAUUGGUAUGACAUCAUUGGUAGUUGAAUAGUGAUAACUUCGAGACGACGUAGUAGCUGAAGUGACGAACGACUAUCUUCAAAUCAUGUUCUCCUCCAAACACUCUCCAACCGACCGUAGCGCAAGAGAUAAAUGAUUUGAUGAUUGAUACCCGAUGUUUCAAAUUUGAAUCCUACUUGAUUUAUAUUUUUAGUUAAGUUUAUUUCUAAAUAAAAUAAACGAAGUAAAUAGCUUGCUAUUUAUCUCUCUCGCAAAAAAAAAAAAAAAACUUUUCCCGUUACGCUUGCACAUUUGGUACAUCUUUGUGUGAAAAAAUCGUCCCAUGAGGUCGUAUUUGUAGUAAAAUUUGAACCAAAUCAAACAACUAGCACGUUUGCUUCACAGUUUAUAAUAUUUCAGUAUUCUUUUGUAAUUUCUGUUGAAAAUGCUCAAAUCAUUAAUUAUCGUUGAACUUAAGUUAGAUAGUUGCAAAAGGUGUUAGCAAAAUAAUAAAAUUAAUGUUAAUUUCUACGUGAUAGAUAUGGUAGAUUAUUAUGAGUAAUUAUGAGAUAUUCUCAUUAAUUUUUCAUAUUUGAUGGAUUCGUUAGAAAUCCAUUAAUAAGAAUAUACCAGAUUUUAAAAAUCCUCCAACCCAAGUGGUUUGAUAAAUUAGUAACAACUUAUUAUUUCAAAUAUAAAAUAUAUAAUAUUUUUAGAAUAUUAUAAACAUUGAAGCAAACAAACCCUAAUAGGGACAAUAUUUCAAACCAUUUAUAUUUUUCCUCUUUUUGAGUGUGAUUCAAACCAAAUCUAGUAACUAAUGACACAAAAUUUGUCACCAAAAUCCGAUUUAAUUUGGUUAUUGAGAUCCUUAAGCAACAAAUGUUUUUAGAUUUAAUUUUUAUUUGUCUCUCCUAUCUAAUUGGUCAACUUGNCUCAAAUAUAUAUUUUAGAAACUCAAUCUCUCAAAUAAACCCUGAAAAUAGGAAUAGAAAAAAAAAGGAAAUUCUUUUAAUCGUAUAUUUAACGUUUUAAGGACAUAUUUGAAAUAAAGAAUUAAUAAAAACAAUUUAGCAAUUUUAUAAGAAUAUAUUUGAAAUAAUGAAUAAUAAAAAAAAUAAGGAAUUUUAGGCCUGAGUACUUAUAUUAUCCUUUUCUAUUAAGUCGUAUUCUGUUGUGAUGCUAAAAUCUAGAAGUAAAUGAGGUCUUUUACUAGUGCAUCAUUUCCGCUGAUAGGACACUUAAAUCAACAACCAGCACCAUUAAAUUUGAUCAUGACCAUUUGAACUUCUUAGAGUUCAAAUUUUAUAAUUUUUCUACGUAUCAUUUGCUUGCUAUUCAAGUGGUGUAGAAAUUGACUACUUUUAAUGAUUAAUAUUUUAGUGAAUUUGGGAUCAGUUAAUUAGCAACUAGACAAAUAAUGUUGUAAAAUCACAAAAUUUGAGUUUUAUGAAGUUCAAAUAGUCUAAGAUCAUAUCUAAUGGCGUCAACCCUUGAUUUGGAUGCUGAUUCAAUACCUGAAAUGAUUCGGCAGUAAAAACCUCAAUUUCUAGCUUUAUUCUCUCUUCACAAAUAUUUUAUCAAUAUAUUAUUAUUUCUUAUUUGGUUUCCCUUUUGUAUAGUAGUACAAACGUUUGCUGAGGAGUAGGAUUUGUGGAUAAAAUCCAAUUUUAUAUUUUUGUUUCAAAACUCUAAUAACUAAUUGUAUCAGAGAAGUUACUAAUUAAAAUCAGAAUAGUUUGCGGAACAGAAUUCUAAUAAUGGAUGUCAGAGCGGUUACUAAUUUAUAUCAGAGCAGUUUGUAAAUUCUCAGUAGUACCAUACGCCACUGCACACCAAAUGCGUGAACUUAGUUUUGACCAAUUAAGUGGUUAAGUUCUGAUAUAGAGAAUAACUGAUAGUAGUCAUAUUUUAUUAUGGAUCGAGAAUGACAAAUAGUAGUCAUAUUUAUCAUAGAGAAUGACGAAAAGACUGGUACAAUAUUAUUCUCCAUACAUUUUUUUUAAAGAGAAAGAUGGUACAUAUACUACUUGCUUCGUUUAUUUUUUAAAAAAAUAAAUUUAGUUUGCAAUAUAAAGUAAUACUAUAAAUUUGGAAUCUUGGGUAUCAACUUUCAAAUCUUUUACCAUCUGUGCUAGUGACAGUUGGCUACACAUCUUUCAAUGUAUAUUAUUUUGUUGGGUAAAUUAAUCAUAUUGGUUGGUCGUUAAACUUUAAACAAAAUUUCGUUUAGACCAUUGAAUGUUAAUUUAUUUUAUAAAAAAAUAUAUUAGUAGUUGUUGAACUUUUAGUAAAAUUUUAUGUAGGUUAUGAAACUUUAAAUUCUUUCAAUCCUUAUAUAUUUUGUACAAAAAAGAAAUUUAUUUAAAUUUGAGCAGUAAGUUGAUUAAUGAAAUAAAAAUGAAAGUUCAAUGUCUUGUUUGGAACAAAGUAAAAUUUGAUGAUCUAAACAAAAUUUCACCAAAAUUAAGUUCAGUGAUCAAUGAUGUUAUAUAUGUAGGCAAAUUUUUAUUCGUACGCCAAAGGAAGAGAAGCGCGGAGGAAUACAAUUGGUCGGAAUAGUUUAUCCUAGUAGAGUUAUUAAUUUGUUUUAUCAUCAUAUUUUCCCACAUUGAGCAGUUAAUGCUAUCCAUAUGCACACUCUACUCAUCCAAAAACUAUAGUAUUCCUUCACUAGUCUUAUUAUUUACUUUCAAUAUUAAAUAUAUUAAAAAAUUAUAUAUGAUUCUUAGAUGAACUGCGACCAUUUUUUUUUUAUUAUUUUGUCUACGUGCAUUUUGUACUUGUGUAAAAAAUUUAUAUAUAUUUUAUUAUUAUUAUUAUUAUUUUUAAGAGAAAUGUACGUAGUAUACUAUUCGUUUCGUUUAUUUUUUAAAAAAAUAAACUUAGCUGAAAAUAUGAAUCAGCUGGAAUUCGAACUUCGGACAUGGAGUACCAACUAUCAAAUAUAUUGCAACUUGUGCUAGGAACAGCCGGUUAUUUUAUUAUUAUUAUUGUUAUUAUUUGUCCUGCGGGCGGCGGCUGGCGAGUUCGAGUACCAUCGAUUGUCUAUAAAUAGAGGCAGCCUAGAAGCAGCCCUCCCACCCAUCGAUCGAGAGAACAAACAUAUAUAUAUAUAUAUAGGCACAUAUAGCGAGCUAGCAAGCUAGAAGAGCCAUGACUUCGAACUUGGUGAACUACAAGAUUAUCUACGACAACGUCGCCUUGCUGAACCUGUCGGGGACGGGGAAACACCUCGUCAGCCUGGCCCUCAUCAAAGAUUUCGACACAGCAGUCAGGAGGGCCGUCAAUGACAAAGUGGUCGGCCUCAUAACCGUCCACAGCGGCAACUGCUUCUCGGGCGGCCUCGACUACGAUUCGGCCCCCGAGGCGGUGUUGGUGGGGGCGUUCGCGAGCCUGAUUGCAAGCCUCAUCAGGCUGCCGUUCCCGACGGUGGCCAGGGUGACGGGCCAAGCGUGCGGGGCAGGAUUCACGCUGGCGCUCGCACAUGACUACUUGGUGCUAUCGACUGACUCCACUGUUAGUCUGUGCCAAAACGAGCUGACUGAGGGCCACGAGGUGCCGUCGUUCGCUGCUGCGCUGCUGUUCGGCAAGUUCCCGCGGUCGGUCGCUUGGGAGCUGGCAGUGUUGACGGUGCCAGUUAUUCCCCCAAAUUACUCGCCCAUAUCUGACUACGUGAAGAAGUACGUAGGGUGGAGCAUAGAUGAUGUUGCGACAAAACUGCUGGAGCCAGCUGCUGGCCGCGUCGGCACCGCUUACAGUGCCGUACGGAAGAGUCUGCUGGCCGAGUUGUGGGCGUUGGUGAAGCCCACAACAACUCAAGCCUAGUUUGGGCCUGCAUGCACGCAUGCAUGGUCGAUCGCCCCCUCGAUCAAUCGUCUCGCGUAGUAUAUAUAUAUAUAUGUACGUAUAUAUCACCGUUAGCAGGUGCGUGUCUGUUGGCUUCGAGUCCGAGUCCGAGUCCGAAACAGUAAUUUGUUGUGCUCGUAUUUCCCUUUGAAUAAAAUAGGGGGCGAUGUCCGUCGAGUCGGUCUGUGUCCUCGGCCCUGUACUGUGCUGGGAUGUUCUAUAUAUAUGCUUGUACUGGUAAUGAAUUAUGCUUGUGCGUGUGCGCGCGCGUCUUUAUUUAUUUUCGAGUGUUUGCUAGCUAGAUCUUUAAUCCCUGCUUAAGAUUAUAUUUGAACUCGACCUAAUUGAUCUGCUCAGAAAACACCAAGCCCAGUACGGUCUGGAUUGGGCCUGGUCCAUCGAACCAUUUGGAAUUGCGGCACGGCUUGGCCAGGUCCGAUGAUCAUGCACUUGUUUCUGUCCUGGCUCGAGGCCGAAAGACGUAAAGUGAAGCGCUCGGCGCCAUAGAUCGAUGCACUUGGGACUCGAAGGACAAUCAUCAAAUUGUAAAGACAAUAUGAGAAAAUUGAAGGACUAACGAGUUUUAUCAGGUUCAAACACUAAAUUUUCAAUAUGACAAAAAGUAACUGCAUGUGAACGACUAUAUAUAUAUAUAUAUAUAUAUAUAUAUAUAUAUAUAUAUAGAGAGAGGCUACUAUGGGCUAUCAGAAGCACCGAGCUUUCUAUGCUUCCAGCUCGUUUUCGAUUUGUGACUUUCGAAUCGUCGAUCGGCUCCGUUAAACUUGAAUCUAGAGUAUUUGGAGUACCUAGAAAAUAAAUUUUAUUAUUUUUCGAUAUCAUUUGCCUAGUGAUCGAAUGAGCUCAAAAUCAACAAAUUUCAAUGGUCGUAGUGUGCCGUUUGCAAGUUUAACGGUGUAGAAAUAUCCAAAUCACGUGAAAUUUUGAUAGAAAAUUCUUUAUACUAUAUAAAACAAGAUCAAUAACUUUGAUUUAAAAUUUUAAUGUCAUAUUAUUACAUUUUGUAAGAUUUUUAUUUUCAGCCGUUGAUUUUGAACCCCUUCGUUCACUAGGCAAAUGAUAUCGUAAAAUUAUAAAAUUUAUUUUCUAGGUACUUCAAAUACUCUAGAUCAAGUUUAACGGAGUCGAUCGACAAUUCGAAAGUCGCAACAUCGAAAACAAGCUGGAAGCACGGAAGACUUCGUGCUUCCGAUAGCAUAGUAACCUCACUCAUAUAUAUAUAUAUAUAUAUAUGAGGUU
This 22463-nucleotide long non-coding RNA is filed under the name Ananas comosus (pineapple). RNAcentral's name for it is "long non-coding RNA (ACOM_LNC012723)". Lineage: Eukaryota; Viridiplantae; Streptophyta; Magnoliopsida; Poales; Bromeliaceae. The record is from RNAcentral.